UACGAAGGGGGCUAGCGUUGCUCGGAAUUACUGGGCGUAAAGCGCACGUAGGCGGGUCUUUAAGUCAGGGGUGAAAUCCUGGAGCUCAACUCCAGAACUGCCUUUGAUACUGAGGAUCUUGAGUUCGGGAGAGGUGAGUGGAACUGCGAGUGUAGAGGUGAAAUUCGUAGAUAUUCGCAAGAACACCAGUGGCGAAGGCGGCUCACUGGCCCGAUACUGACGCUGAGGUGCGAAAGCGUGGGGAGCAAACAGG
Molecule: ribosomal RNA, 253 nt
Filed under: uncultured bacterium
Lineage: Bacteria
Description: partial 16S ribosomal RNA
Rfam family: Bacterial small subunit ribosomal RNA
Source: RNAcentral